GAUGGAGUUGAAGACUAAUUUAGUCUCAUAGCCUACCCAAGCCUCAAUUAACUUUGAGGAAACACAGUUGUCUGGAUGAUUUUCUAAUGGUAGUAGUCGUGCACAACUUAUAUUUGAUGCAAAAAGUUUGUUUUUUAUUAAACAGAAAGGGUGAUGUGUAGGAUGAUGUCAUUAUGCAGCAAGGCGGGUCCAGGAUAAGGCGUAGCCUAUCAUUGGAUGAGAAGGACGGGUAGGUGGGGAAAAGUCUAGGAAGGAGGGAGGAGGGGGAGCGAGAGAUCAAGAUGGAGUCUACAAAGGAGGAUGGUUCAGAUAUGGGUGAACUACAUCGAUUUUUAUCUUGUCUAGAUUUAUUUAUUUUAUAUAUGUGAGCACACUGUAGCUGUCCUCAGACACACCAGAAGAAGGCAUCAGAUCUCAUUACAGAUGGUUGUGAGCCACCAUGUGGUUGCUGGGAAUUGAAUUCAGGACCCCUGGAAGAGCAGCCAGCCAUCUCUCCAGCCCUUAACUUGGACUCUUAACGACAAGAGCUGCAGAAGUCACUGUGGUCAGCCGGGCUCUGCUACUGCUGCUGUGUAGCCAUAGGCCAAUCUUCUUACCUGGGUACCUGACAUCAGACAUCUCUUACUGGACCGUCAGGCUGUGAGGGAACUUGUGAAGAGCCUAA
This is a non-coding RNA of Rattus norvegicus (Norway rat), 664 nucleotides long. The record is from RefSeq and is a predicted model, not a curated record. Lineage: Eukaryota; Metazoa; Chordata; Mammalia; Rodentia; Muridae.